Non-coding RNA from Planktothrix serta PCC 8927, 243 nucleotides. The record is from Rfam. NCBI's taxonomy places the organism in Bacteria, Bacillati, Cyanobacteriota, Cyanophyceae, Oscillatoriales, Microcoleaceae.
GUCAGCACCCCGCACUCUCUGUGACGGGGCUAUGGGCGGAGCGCAGGCUUCGCACCUAGUGCCUCACCAGAGCGUGAUAGUUGACCAGCCUAAGUCUUAAUUGACUACGUUUUUUGAGUCAUGACACCCUGUGGAUGCGUAGCUAGUCCCAGGCUCUGUCGUUAGUGGUUAAACAUCUUUAUCGGGUUAAGGAAGUGCUGCUAACCUAACAAGCUCUUAAAAUCUUGGCGAAGCUAACUUUAC